This is a long non-coding RNA of Artibeus jamaicensis (Jamaican fruit-eating bat), 3413 nucleotides long. RefSeq lists it as uncharacterized. Lineage: Eukaryota; Metazoa; Chordata; Mammalia; Chiroptera; Phyllostomidae. The transcript is spliced from 4 exons. The record is from RefSeq and is a predicted model, not a curated record.
GACUAUAAGCCAGUAAGGAGACAAAGCUUAUCUCCCCGGCUUCUGCUCCUUUUUCUUCACCCUGCCUGGCUUCAAUGCAUGAUCAGUUAGCCAAUGACGGAGGGGAAGGAGAGAAGAAGAGAAAUAACAAUGUAUGGUUGCCUAUCAUGUGUCCCCUGUUGGGAACUGGCCCGAAACCCAGGGACACAGGGAAGGAUUCUGAUUGAGUCACGUGUCUACCAUGGGACUGACUACUGUUACCAGGGACACAGGGUGUGAUGAGAGCUCAACCUGGGGCACAAUGAAUAUGAAUGACACCCCCAGAGCUACAUGCAUACUCGGCCCAGCAGCCCUCAAGAAGGAAGCCAUUCAGGCGACAAGCAGGCUCUUGUGCUUGGCUUAUCACUAACCAGAGGAGCCUGCGCUGGAAAUGAGAUUCAAAGCCUGCACCAGGAAGGGCUGUUUCCUUAAUUGAGCGCCUCCCUUUUGAAGCGCUGUCUCCCUGGCGGAGCCUGGAGCUGGCUGGGUCCCCCGGCCAAGAUCACUCCUGUGUAAUCUCCUGCAUGCCAGAAGCAGAUGCUCCGCGGCAUGGAGCUUUUCUGACAGGCCUUUGAUAAGAUUUCUCAGUCCUCCAUGUGCCAGGCAGGUGGAGGGAGGAACAGUUUUCAGAAAAGUCACUGAUCAAAGGAUUCAAGAGCUUAGGUGUUCCAGGCUUUCCUGCCACAUACGCCUCAGUCAAGAAUCUGCAGUCCUGGGGGAUUCUCAGUGCCUUGAUGGUGCUCCCAUCUUGUCCCUUCUCGUGCUGUCCCCAUGGGGUUAAGGACCAAUUCUCUUCUGCUUUCCUUAAUUAAUGGAAAUGAAAUUUGUGUUCUUUGAGACUACUUGAACUGGUCUGGGUUGUUUGGAGAUACACACAGCUGUCAGGAACUCUGGCACAGUGUUCAGUGGAUGAAGUAAAUACCUUAUUUUGAGUUGAUUUGGGGAAAGGGGCUAUUUUAAGGAAUCAUCUAAGCUCACGUGAUGUUGGAGUUAAUUUAACUCUGAGUGCAAAUGUCCUCUGGAAAUGAGGGUAAUGCCAGAUGUAAGGACAAGAUUGUCAUGGAAAUUAGAUGAUGUAAAAUAUGAGAAGCCCCUAGCAAAAAUAUUCUGAAGAGCUCAGAAAUAUUUAUUAUUAGAUUAUUAUUUUAUUAUUUCCCUGGUGGGGAGGAGAACCCUUAGCUGAGUGUUGGACUAUCUAAGCCUCACGCAGUGACAAAGCUAAAGCCCAGAAGAGUCAAGGCUUUGUCAGCUGUUGCAAAACCAUUACGCCUGGGCAGAGAAGCUACUACACCUGGCUUUUCAAUCAUAUGAGUGCUCCCCCUGCUUUUCUGCCACCUCUCUUUUCCCACUUCCUACUCCAUGUUCUCCAUGUCCAUCACUCCUUCCCUACCUUCAUUCUUUUUCCCUUUUGACAUUCUGUUUCCCACACUCAGCAAAAUCCACAAAUCAGAUCGACGAAGUCGUGUGGAGUCUUUCUCUUCUGCCAUGGCUGUUGAGUUUUAUAGAGAAUUUCCUUUGCUCAGACUGACGUCACCACCUCCUCCUGCAUUCCUGCCUCUACAUGACCCCAAUUCACACUUGCUCCUCCAGUCCUAUCUCACUUCCUCCCACCUUCUCAGCAGAUGACCUGGUCUGUCUAGUUACUGGGAAAAUGGAGGCUGCCAGGCAGAGAUCCCUCAGCCUGCUUGCUGCGCUCGUCUGCACACAUUCUCCCCAAUCACCGUAUCCUCACCCAUGGCUGUAGCCACCACGUCAGUCCACCCUAGGUCACCCUCCAAAGCUCUAAAUCCAUUCACCCGGCCUCUGGACAUGUCUGCUUAGAUGUCCCACAGGCACCUCAAAAAUUAUGAUCUUGUUAACAGGUUCUCCAAUCCUCUUAUCUCCCAUAUCGCAUAGGUCAUCAGAGACAGUUGUUUCUACCUCCUAACUCUCUCUGAGACCCUUCUUCAGCUCUCCAGUCCAUAGCCACCGCUCAGUCCGGGAGCCUGUCUCUGCUUCCCUAGGUCACUACAACGGCCCCCAGCCCAUCUUUCCAUCUCUGGUCCUGCUGCACUCCCAUCCCUCCUUCCAUCCGUCCACGCUGCCUUCGGGGAGAACCUUCCCAACUCAGGCUGAGUAGACUUCCCUGGGGUCCUUGAUGACCUCCCCAAAAACCCACAGGGGGUCCCUGCAAUUCUUAUAGGCCCCUAACCAUCCCCAUUACAGGUGAUUGGCUCAAAGGACACCCGGGAUCCCGUUUCCCUAAGAAUCUACAUUAAAGACCCAGAAGAUUCUAAACAGUCAUGUUGGGACUUAAACCACAUGAGUAUUUUCUACAUGAUUUUAAUUUUCUUCUUUUCCUUCUCUGUGGUUUCAAAACUAAAGAAAAGCAAUAUUUUUGUAAGAAAAACACUUAAAGAACUCUGGGCUGGUUUUAAAAUAAAAACUCUCGAAUUUGGUCUUUAUACUCUCAAAUCAGUUCUCAUUUGAUUACUUAUUUAUGCUAAGGAGGAAAAACAAAUAGACUAUAAGCAAUAAUAUUUAUUUCUGUUGUCAAAACAUUCUCAGGCCAUAGGAACUGAGGAAUUCUUCCUGUUAAAUGUCUUUGCUGCUUCCCUGCUGCUCCUCCUCUCUUUCUGGUGGCCCUGUGUUAAACCUUUGAAUUUCUAGGGAUGGUAAUAGUGUUUGGUUAAAAGUCUGGAUUUUGGAGCCAAAUUGAUGUGAAUUAAAAUCCUAACUUCACCACUAAUGGGGUGACCAUGGACAAACUACUUAAAUUAGUUGUGUCUGUUUCUUCCUGUGUAAAAUAAGAUAUUAAUGCCUAGAUCACAAGGUCAUGGUCAAGUUUAAAUGGCAUUGUGUAUAUAGAGGCCUUUGACACAGAUUAAGGGCACAGUAGCUAAUAUUACGAUAAAUGUAUUCUAUCUUGGCUUGCUGGGGCCCUGUCAUUUUUAGUGGCCAUUGCUGAUCUCUAACCCAUGGCUCCCCCUCCUCCUGUUCCCCAGCCAACCUGGCAUACGCACAACUCUAGCCGGCCUCACUGUCCAUAGCAGGGGCUCUGAGGCCUGGGUAUAGAAAUGACCCUUCUUUCUCUGGACACAGUGGGUCUGGGUAGAGAAUGAGGUAGGGCUUAAGCAUCUCAGGAAAUGGCUUGCACCCCUGAACUAACAUCCCUCGGCGAGAAAAGGCACACCAGUACGGCCCUGCACGAGAGAGGCCUCUACCACCCGCCCUGCCCUGCCUCUCACCCUUUUCCUACUGACUUACUGCUCUUAAUCACACUGUUCUAUUCGCUUUGGUCCAGACCCCACCUGCCUCAAGGCUUCCCCUCUUGUUGCUUCCCCUGUGGGGAAAGUCCUUCCGUGCUCCUACCUGGCUGGCUCCCUGUCUACAUUCCGUUCCCUGCUUCGAUGUCA